AAAACGCGAUAAUUUAAUAUGAAACGCAGGACUCAGUGAAUCAUCAAAACCUUGAACGCACUUGGCGCCCUCGAGUCUCCGGGCUCUGGGGCAUAUCUGUUUGAGUGUCAAUUAACCCCCCUCACAACACUCCAAUUCUUCACAGAAUUGGGUUCAAGCUUGUGGACGUUGGUCGCUGUGCAACUGCAAAGUUUGUACACCGGCUUAAGCAUAGUGGUGAGAGGCUCGCGAAUCGCUCCUCGAACACUGACUGGGUAAGUUUCCUCUGGAAACAAACAAAAUACUAAGUCAAAUGUUCGUGGGUUCAUAGCGUCUUGCGUAGCGCUUGCCCCGCAACUUAUCGAGGCUUCCGCAAGGAAACCGCGAUAACUUAACCUUUUGACCUCAAAUCAGGUAAGAA
This 400-nucleotide unclassified non-coding RNA is filed under the name uncultured fungus. Its description in RNAcentral is "sequence contains ITS1". The stretch from base 1 to 110 matches the Rfam family "5.8S ribosomal RNA", at positions 50 to 154 of the family's 154-position model. The record is from RNAcentral. Lineage: Eukaryota; Fungi.